GAUCGUCAGCACUGAUGCACAUCGAUCGAUUGUUCUUCCUCUCGUCGACCUCUAAGUGGUCAGCUCGGUUGAAAUGUCCUUUAAGCUCCAAAAUGCUCCAAAGUCAUAGCUUUACUCCAAAAUGCACCUGAACCUGAAAACAUACCUAGAAGAGUAGAAAACAUAGAUAUAUAUAUAGUAAAAUACUUAUAUACCAUGGAUAAAAAUGGGUCAAAUUCAAGGUAUAUCACUCGUAUCCGAGAAUAUCAAAUGAGAGAUGUGAACCUGAAGAAGAUACGAGAGAAUUUGAAUUAAGGAAACAUCGGAGGAUAUCAAGUUGCAAGUGAUUGAACUUUGUUACUCAAUGGUCGAGUAACUGUUCCGAAAGGAGAAGGACUUCAAGAGGAGAUUCUAAGGACUGCACACCAUUCUCUCUUAAGCAUUCAUCCCGGGAGCACAAAGAUGUAUCGAGAUAUCAGAAGAUAUUACCACUGGCCAGGGAUGAAGAGAGAUGUUGCCAUAUGGGUUUCCCAGUGUCAGAGUUGCCAGUGGCGAAGAUAUUAACACCAAGUCCCAGGUGGCUUACUUCAAAGCUUACCUAUCCCUGAAUGGAAAUGGGAUGCAGUAGCGAUGGACUUUAUUUCUGGUUUACCUCGAGCUCCCGGCCGUGGGAAUGAUGCAGUUCGGGGACGAAUUCUUUUAAGGGGGGAAGAGUGUAAUAACCCUCACGAGCCAAUAAAUUUAUGGUCGAGAAAAAUCCCGCUUGACCAGUUUUUUUUAGUUGGUUCGACAAGGAUUAAUAAAAAUACGACAGGACUGUCUUGUGGUUGAAAGACAUUCACUUGAUAGUUUGGUCGAGUCUUAAAUAUUUUGGUCGAAUUUUUAUUAAGCUGGACGAGAUUUUUCCGAGAAUAAAACGAGAGCCAAAGACAAGAAAUAUUUGGUUGAAAAAUUAUUUAAAACUGACAACCAACUUCCAAAAUAAUUUUUGAACUGAGUUAUGUCCUCCACCAGCCUGGUUGUGCAGUUAUUCAGUCUUAGACUUGCACCUACCUGCUUACCUAGCUUCUUCAGUAACUGGCACAUGACAAUCACAAGCUGCCUGCUUGCCUUGUUUCUUAGAUUGUCAUGUGAGAAGCACAUGAAAGGGCUGGAGUUUCUUCAGGUUAAGGAAAGGACAGCAGCUUGUGCUGAGAGUGCUGAAGCAGCUGGCCAUCUGUCCCCAUUCAGCUUAGCUCUGUCCUGAGUGAAACCCUCACCUGAAGCAAUCUCACCUCAUAUUUAACCCCUCUCCAGCUGCUUCCCACGUUCUGAAACCUCAUAAAAAUACACAAAAUUUUUAGAGAGAAAGAGAGAAAGAAGAAGAGAAAAUCAGGAAAUAAAAUCAAGAAAAAAAAUUGUUGGUGAUUUGAUCUUCAGCCCUAGCUCAGUCAGUUGCUGUGAGAAAGAUCAGAAGUUCAGCCACAAUCUAAUCUUGGGGAAGAGGAUCAGCUGAGGCCAUCUAGUCCUUUGGUUCAUCUUGGUAAGCUUUGGUCUCUUACCUCAGUCAUGUCUUGAUCAGAGCUAGUUGAUGUUUACAUAAGAACUUGGUCGGAUAAGUUCUCUAAGUGGUGAUAUAGUUCAGAUUUUGAUUAAUUUCGGUUUGAAUCAACCUCUUAGAACCACCAGCUAUGAUGUUCUGAUCUGGCUUUGAUUAAACCAAUUUGAACUCAGUCUGAUCUUGUCCUGAACUUUGGUAGACUGACUAGAACCAAGCUGAACUGGUAUAGUUUGAGUGGAACCAAGCUUGAACUGAUCUGAUCUAGGGUGUUAAAGAAUGAACCAAACUGAUCUUGUAGUCACUCACUUCUGUUUCAGGUCAGAGGGGGAGUAAGGCUUUAGGUAUCCAACCAGUUCCAAGACUAAUCUCUUAGGUGAGUCUAGAUAGAUGUUGAGAUUGAUUAAGUUAGUAAAGUCUCUCAAGUUUAUAAGAAUGGUGUUAUGUUUACUUAUUGUGAACUAUACAUAAGAGUAAUCAAAAUGUUAAAGUAAGGUUAAUCCUCAUCUUAGUACUUAUGAACAAGUACUAAUCUUAACUAUGAAAUAAUCAUGGUUUAAUUAAGGAUUAAUCUUCGUUUAAUUAAGAAUUAAUAUGAAAUUAAUUAAA
Molecule: long non-coding RNA, 2125 nt
Organism: Brassica rapa (field mustard)
Lineage: Eukaryota; Viridiplantae; Streptophyta; Magnoliopsida; Brassicales; Brassicaceae
Source: RefSeq, a predicted model, not a curated record